GGGCUGAGCCCGGACAGCCCCACUGAGGAUGCGAGAACGGGCUCCUCUGUGUUCACCUGGAAACUCCAGGGGCGGCGGCUCCCUCCCCCAGAAUUUGCCACGUGUGUUCUGCAUUGUGUCCCCCAGGAGUCUGUAAGCCCAGCCCACGGAGGUGGGGAGGGAAGCGUCUGGAUUAACAGUGGCACCCCCCUUCCUCUGUGCCGGGCCACCUCCCGCCCACCUUAUAAAGCAGGGCCUGCCUGCCCUACAGCACCACCCGCCCAGCCCAGGCCAGCCUCCGCCUCUUUCUGCUCUAUAUCCCCUGUUAACAUCCGGGCUCUACGCUGCCAUGGCUUUACCCCUGGGGUUUGCCCCCUGGGGACAGAAGGUGCCAGAUUUGCUGACCAGAGGAUUCCUGUCCCAGUUUCAGAGACCUCUUCUGCUCUUCUCCCGUCCUCGUGGUGGGCCGGUGCCUUGGGACCCUGCAAGACACCCACCAGAUGUGCUCCAUGGCCUUGGACCUCCGAACUGUGAGCUGAGUACCCGUCCAGCCUCUCAAACCACCCAGGCCCAGGAAUUGAUCCAGGCCCACAAUCUAGUGGUUAAGGGAGCGACAUCCCACGUGGCCAACAAAGGUUCGAAUCCUGGUCCUCCGAGACAACAAACCUGUCAGGCACGAGGGCACUCCUGCCCCAAACCCUGCCGGGUGGAAAAAUGAGCGAGAAGAG
Molecule: long non-coding RNA, 707 nt
Organism: Tupaia belangeri chinensis (Chinese tree shrew)
Lineage: Eukaryota; Metazoa; Chordata; Mammalia; Scandentia; Tupaiidae
Exons: 3
Source: RefSeq, a predicted model, not a curated record